GAUGAACGCUAGCGGGAGGCUUAAUACAUGCAAGUCGAGGGGUAACAGGGCUUCGGCCGCUGACGACCGGCGCACGGGUGAGUAACGCGUACGCAAUCUACCUCCAAGAGGGGCAUAGCCCCGGGAAACUGGGAUUAAUACCGCAUAGUAUUGCAUUGCUGCAUGGUAAUGUAAUUAAAACUUUGGUGCUUGGAGAUGAGCGUGCGUCCUAUUAGCUAGUUGGUAAGGUAACGGCUUACCAAGGCAACGAUAGGUAGGGGGCGUGAGAGCGUGACCCCCCACACGGGUACUGAGACACGGACCCGACUCCUACGGGAGGCAGCAGUAAGGAAUAUUGGACAAUGGGCGAAAGCCUGAUCCAGCUAUCCCGCGUGCAGGAUGACUGCCCUAUGGGUUGUAAACUGCUUUUAUAAGGGAAGAAACGAAUUCAUUUAUGAGUUCCUGACGGUACCUUAUGAAUAAGCACCGGCUAACUCCG
Molecule: ribosomal RNA, 478 nt
Filed under: uncultured Saprospiraceae bacterium
Lineage: Bacteria; Pseudomonadati; Bacteroidota; Saprospiria; Saprospirales; Saprospiraceae
Description: bacterial SSU rRNA
Rfam family: Bacterial small subunit ribosomal RNA
Source: RNAcentral